ACUCUUUGAAAACGUAAAAAAUCCCUCUAAUUUCACAGCCAAUCAGAAGUGAGGGAGACAAGCGAUCUGUGCUUUUGCACAGCGCGCCGUGUGUCGCCGUCACCUGCCGCUGCCAAGUAUCGUGCACCGUGUGUUGAAUUUAUCUCCUGUUGCUAUGACUUUCGCACUCCCCCCUCAACUGUUGCUUCCUGUGUGUCUUGCCCCUAACUGAUGAACACGGUUCUAAGUGAGCUGAGAACAGCAGAACGUUCUCAGUCCUGGACCUAUGGACUGGGUCCAUCUAUGUCUGCAUCAUGGCUCACCAUGGAGAAGACCUGAACAGAGGAAGAGAAAUAUCUGACUGAGAGACUCGACAAAGAUGGAAAAAGAUCAAGGAAGAUCAGUGAGCAAUUAAACGCCAGUGAAGCACAGAAUCAGCAGGAAUCAGGAGGUCAAGGAGGAGUCAUAGUACCACUAUUCAGGAGGCCUAGAAGGAGUCAUAGUAGCACUAAUCAGGAGGUCUAGAAGGAGUCAUAGUUCCACUAAUCAGGAGGUCUAGAAGGAGUCAUAGUAGCACUAAUCAGGAGGUCUAGAAGGAGUCAUAGUACCACUAAUCAGGAGGUCUAGAAGGAGUCAUAGUAGCACUAAUCAGGAGGUCUAGAAGGAGUCAUAGUAGCACUAAUCAGGAGGUCUAGAAGGAGUCAUAGUUCCACUAAUCAGGAGGUCUAGAAGGAGUCAUAGUAGCACUAAUCAGGAGGUCUAGAAGGAGUCAUAGUUCCACUAAUCAGGAGGUCUAGAAGGAGUCAUAGUUCCACUAAUCAGGAGGUCUAGAAGGAGUCAUAGUACCACUAAUCAGGAGGUCUAGAAGGAGUCAUAGUUCCACUAAUCAGAGCUCCUAAAAUGACUCCACAGACAGUGAACUACUUUCUCCA
This is a long non-coding RNA of Acanthochromis polyacanthus (spiny chromis), 911 nucleotides long. RefSeq lists it as uncharacterized. Lineage: Eukaryota; Metazoa; Chordata; Actinopteri; Pomacentridae. The transcript has 4 exons. The record is from RefSeq and is a predicted model, not a curated record.